UGGGUAGUCCGCACGAGCGCACCUUGCCCUAUGUUGCCAGCGGUUCGGCCGGGGACUCAUAGGGAACUGCCGGUGAUAAACCGGAGGAAGGUGGGGACGACGUCAAGUCAUCAUGGCCCUUACGCUUGGGGCUACACACGUGCUACAAUGGCCAGCACAAAGGGCUGCCAACCUGCGAAGGUGAGCGAAUCCCAAAAAGCUGGUCUAAGUUCGGAUUGCAGUCUGCAACUCGACUGCAUGAAGUCGGAAUCGCUAGUAAUCGUAGAUCAGCAAUGCUACGGUGAAUACGUUCCCGGGCCUUGUACACACCGCCCGUCACGCCAUGGAAGCCGGGAGUGCCCGAAGUCCGUGUCCUAACCCUUGGGAGGGAGCGGCCGAAGGCAAAUUCGGUAACUGGGGCGAAGUCGUAACAAGGUAGCCGUAGGGGAACCUGCGGCUGGAUCACCUCCUUUCU
This 454-nucleotide ribosomal RNA is filed under the name uncultured bacterium. RNAcentral's name for it is "bacterial SSU rRNA". It matches the Rfam family "Bacterial small subunit ribosomal RNA", at positions 1077 to 1533 of the family's 1533-position model. The record is from RNAcentral.